UAGGGAAUCUUCCGCAAUGGACGAAAGUCUGACGGAGCAACGCCGCGUGAGUGAAGAAGGAUUUCGGUUCGUAAAACUCUGUUGUUAGGGAAGAAAAAAUGUAUAGUAACUAUAUACAAAAGAGACGGUACCUAACCAGAAAGCCACGGCUAACUACGUGCCAGCAGCCGCGGUAAUACGUAGGUGGCAAGCGUUGUCCGGAAUUAUUGGGCGUAAAGCGCGCGCAGGUGGUUUAGAAAGUCUGAUGUGAAAGCCCACGGCUCAACCGUGGAGGGUCAUUGGAAACUAAUAAACUUGAGUGCAGGAGAGAAAAGUGGAAUUCCUAGUGUAGCGGUGAAAUGCGUAGAUAUUAGGAGGAACACCGGUGGCGAAAGCGGCUUUUUGGCCUGCAACUGACACUGAGGCGCGAAAGCGUGGGGAGCAAACAGG
RNAcentral lists this ribosomal RNA (429 nucleotides) under Verrucomicrobiota bacterium. RNAcentral describes it as "Verrucomicrobia bacterium partial 16S ribosomal RNA". It matches the Rfam family "Bacterial small subunit ribosomal RNA", at positions 355 to 776 of the family's 1533-position model. The record is from RNAcentral. Lineage: Bacteria; Pseudomonadati; Verrucomicrobiota.